This 806-nucleotide long non-coding RNA is filed under the name Olea europaea subsp. europaea. The record is from RNAcentral. Lineage: Eukaryota; Viridiplantae; Streptophyta; Magnoliopsida; Lamiales; Oleaceae.
GUUUAUCUAUACAAAAAUAGGAUAAUAAUAUAAUUUUUAAAUAUUAAUAAUAAUCUUAUAAAAAUAAUUUGAUCUGCAUAAUGAGGAAAUCCUAAAAAUCCCAAAUCUUCUCUUUCCUUACAAAUUAUUCUCACAAUGCCCUCAUCUCCCUUCUUUAAUCUCCGGAUAACCCUUCAUUCAUCGAUGCUUCAAAGCAUGACACUGUGCACAGCGUGCAGUGGUGUCUCGCCCGACAUCGCUACGGCGCUCAUUGUGUUCAGUGUUACGCCAUCGUGCGCUCAUUGUCUAUUCAGCCCGAAGCGGCACUCAUUGUCAAUUCAGCCACACUGUACGUUGUGUUCGAGAUCUGUUGUGCACUGUGGUCAGGAUCUGCAACUCCACGAUCUAAUGUGGGUUUUUGGGUAUGUUUUCAGUUGGUGGGUGGGGAAUGUGGUGUUGGUGUUUGGAUGGCAGUGGUUUUGUUGGAUCCAACGGCAGCUCAUGUAUGUUAGAUCUAGCGGCGAUGGUGGUGGUGAUGGUGGCCGUCGUGUUUGAGAUAAUGAUUUUGUUGUUGGGAGGUAGUGGUGAUUCUGCCGAUGGUGAUUAGGUUGGUUGCGUGGUGAGGUGGUGGUCAUAAGUGUUGGUAGUGGUUACAAAUGAUUUGGUUCAUUUUGACCAAUAAGUUGGUCAAUGUGUGACCAAUGAAAUAGAUAAAUUGUGAUCAAUAAAUAAUAUAUGACCUAAAAAUUUGUUAAUUUGUCAUCAAUAAUUUGAUAAUUUGUGGCAAAUUAAUUCGAUAUAUUUGUGAUUAUGAAAUAAGUUGUGAC